RNAcentral lists this ribosomal RNA (549 nucleotides) under uncultured Glomeromycotina. RNAcentral's name for it is "SSU rRNA". It matches the Rfam family "Eukaryotic small subunit ribosomal RNA", at positions 548 to 1098 of the family's 1831-position model. Lineage: Eukaryota; Fungi; Glomeromycota. The record is from RNAcentral.
UUGGAGGGCAAGUCUGGUGCCAGCAGCCGCGGUAAUUCCAGCUCCAAUAGCGUAUAUUAAAGUUGUUGCAGUUAAAAAGCUCGUAGUUGAAUUUCGGGGUCAGUAGGUCGGUCGUGCCACUGGUACGAACUGGUUUUACUGAUUCCUCCCUCUUGAGGAACUGUAAUGCCAUUAAUUUGGUGUUGCAGGGAAUCAGGACUGUUACUUUGAAAAAAUUAGAGUGUUUAAAGCAGGCUUUAGCUUGAAUACAUUAGCAUGGAAUAAUGAAAUAGGACGUUUGAUCCUAUUUUGUUGGUUUCUAGGAUUGACGUAAUGAUUAAUAGGGAUAGUUGGGGGCAUUAGUAUUCAAUUGUCAGAGGUGAAAUUCUUGGAUUUAUUGAAGACUAACUACUGCGAAAGCAUUUGCCAAGGAUGUUUUCAUUAAUCAAGAACGAAAGUUAGGGGAUCGAAGACGAUCAGAUACCGUCGUAGUCUUAACCAUAAACUAUGCCGACUAGGGAUCGGAUGAUGUUAAUUUUUUAAUGACUCAUUCGGCGCCUUACGGGAAAC